Molecule: ribosomal RNA, 253 nt
Filed under: uncultured prokaryote
Description: partial 16S ribosomal RNA
Rfam family: Bacterial small subunit ribosomal RNA
Source: RNAcentral
UACGUAGGUGGCAAGCGUUAUCCGGAAUUAUUGGGCGUAAAGCGAACGUAGGCGGUUUCUUAAGAUUGGUCUUAAAGACCGGGGCUCAACCCCGGGAAUGGAUCGAUAACUGGGAGACUGGAGGACGUCAGAGGAAAGUGGAAUUCCGAGUGUAGCGGUGAAAUGCGUAGAUAUUCGGAGGAACACCAGUGGCGAAAGCGACUUUCUGGGACGUUCCUGACGCUGAGGUUCGAAAGCUCGGGGAGCAAACAGG